RNAcentral lists this unclassified non-coding RNA (197 nucleotides) under plant metagenome. RNAcentral describes it as "partial contains small subunit ribosomal RNA, internal transcribed spacer 1, and 5.8S ribosomal RNA". The record is from RNAcentral.
UCUCCGUUGGUGAACCAGCGGAGGGAUCAUUACCGAGUGCAAACUCAUAACCCUUUGUGGACCUAUAUCUGUUGCUUCGGCGGCUCGCUUUCGGGCGAGCCCGCCGGUAAUAUCAGUAUCUCUGUUUGAACCCGACGAUACUUCUGAGUGUUCUUAGCGAACAGUUAAAACUUUUAACAACGGAUCUCUUGGCUCUA